UACAGAGGAGCCAAGCGUUGUCCGGAUUGACUGGGCGUAAAGCGCACGCAGGCGGUUGCGCGCGUGGGGGGUGAAAUCUGGCCGCUUAACGGCCAGGCGCCAUCCCAUACGGCGCGACUGGAGCGAUGCAGAGGUCGGUGGAAUUCCAGGUGUAGCGGUGAAAUGCGUAGAGAUCUGGAGGAACACCGAUGGCGAAGGCAGCCUUCUGGGCCAACACUGACGCUCAUGCACGAAAGCGUGGGGAGCAAACAGG
This 253-nucleotide ribosomal RNA is filed under the name uncultured bacterium. RNAcentral describes it as "partial 16S ribosomal RNA". It matches the Rfam family "Bacterial small subunit ribosomal RNA", at positions 524 to 776 of the family's 1533-position model. The record is from RNAcentral.